RNAcentral lists this long non-coding RNA (359 nucleotides) under Setaria italica (foxtail millet). RNAcentral describes it as "long non-coding RNA (SITA_LNC004380)". Lineage: Eukaryota; Viridiplantae; Streptophyta; Magnoliopsida; Poales; Poaceae. The record is from RNAcentral.
CGGGACAUCGCGGCGCAGGAGAAGCUCACGGCCCCCUUCGACUUCCCGCGCUUCCUCGACCUCAUGCGCGCCCACCUCAGGCCCGAGCCCUUCGACCGCCCGCUCCGCGACGCCUUCCGCGUCCUCGACAAGGACGCCUCGGGCACCGUCUCCGUCGCCGACCUCCGCCACGUCCUCACAUCCAUCGGCGAGAAGCUCGAGCCCCACGAGUUCGACGAGUGGAUCCGCGAGGUCGACGUCGCGCCCGACGGCACCAUCCGCUACGACGACUUCAUCCGCCGCAUCGUCGCCAAAUGAUUCCCCGGUCCCACUGCCCCCGCGCGCGCUUCGUGUGUAAUGACCUCGUCUCCCGUGUCCCG